Molecule: ribosomal RNA, 289 nt
Filed under: Ralstonia solanacearum
Lineage: Bacteria; Pseudomonadati; Pseudomonadota; Betaproteobacteria; Burkholderiales; Burkholderiaceae
Description: partial 16S ribosomal RNA
Rfam family: Bacterial small subunit ribosomal RNA
Source: RNAcentral
GGUAGCUUGCUACCUGCCGGCGAGUGGCGAACGGGUGAGUAAUACAUCGGAACGUGCCCUGUAGUGGGGGAUAACUAGUCGAAAGACUAGCUAAUACCGCAUACGACCUGAGGGUGAAAGUGGGGGACCGCAAGGCCUCAUGCUAUAGGAGCGGCCGAUGUCUGAUUAGCUAGUUGGUGGGGUAAAGGCCCACCAAGGCGACGAUCAGUAGCUGGUCUGAGAGGACGAUCAGCCACACUGGGACUGAGACACGGCCCAGACUCCUACGGGAGGCAGCAGUGGGACCACA